CCUACGGGUGGCAGCAGUGAGGAAUAUUGGUCAAUGGGCGAGAGCCUGAACCAGCCAAGUCGCGUGAAGGAUGACGGCCCUACGGGUUGUAAACUUCUUUUGUCAGGGAGCAAUUGGGUCCACGCGUGGCCUUAUCGAGAGUACCUGAAGAAAAAGCAUCGGCUAACUCCGUGCCAGCAGCCGCGGUAAUACGGAGGAUGCGAGCGUUAUCCGGAUUUAUUGGGUUUAAAGGGUGCGUAGGCGGAAUGUCAAGUCAGCGGUAAAAAUUCGGGGCUCAACCUCGACGUGCCGUUGAAACUGGUGGUCUUGAGUGGGCGAGAAGUAUGCGGAAUGCGUGGUGUAGCGGUGAAAUGCAUAGAUAUCACGCAGAACUCCGAUUGCGAAGGCAGCAUACCGGCGCCCAACUGACGCUGAAGCACGAAAGCGUGGGUAUCGAACAGGAUUAGAUACCCCGGUAGUC
RNAcentral lists this ribosomal RNA (460 nucleotides) under uncultured bacterium. Its description in RNAcentral is "partial 16S ribosomal RNA". It matches the Rfam family "Bacterial small subunit ribosomal RNA", at positions 338 to 795 of the family's 1533-position model. The record is from RNAcentral.